RNAcentral lists this long non-coding RNA (1048 nucleotides) under Gossypium barbadense (sea-island cotton). RNAcentral describes it as "long non-coding RNA (GBAR_LNC011875)". The record is from RNAcentral. Lineage: Eukaryota; Viridiplantae; Streptophyta; Magnoliopsida; Malvales; Malvaceae.
UUACUACGUUUUAAGAGAAUUAGAAUUGGGUUAAGAAGAUAAUUGAAUUAAUUAAUUGAUUACUUUUAAUUAAUUAAAAAAUAUAUUUUGGGGAAUUAAAAACUAGACAUUGAGUUGGAUAACUUAUAUGACUUUUGUAAUAGCCAAUUUUGGCUCAUGUCUAUAAAAUAAAAUAAACCAAAAAUAAGUGAAAACCCAAAUGUUUAUUAAACAGUCCCUUUAUACAUUAAAAUGGCACAAAUCAAACAAUACCCCAAAACCCAAAUCUAACCUACCCUAGCCCAACUACACAAAACAAUUCAGCAACCCUAGCCCUUCCAAGCUUCAGCCGCCGCUUACCCCCUCAGCCUUGGCCUCCACGCGCCCCGCCUCACCUCCUCACGAGCCAACCACCAGCCUCCCAUGCACCUGGCACCUCUCUGAAACCUGCAAAAUAUUGAAUACAAUGACAAAGGGCAGCAAAAGAAACAAGCAGAAACGACAAAGAGAAUAGAAGUAGGGGGUCGUUUAAUCGGCUUUAAAAAGCCAAGAUACACCUUUGUAAAUUUUUUACACACACCAUUAAUAAAAAAAAUAGAACAGAAGUUUCAAAAGGUGGAUUUUUUAACUAUCUAUUUUCGUUUUUUGCUUCUUUUAUUUUUAUUGUUUUUAUUUCAUAACUAAAAUCUUUCAAAUAUAAAAAGGAAGAAAUAAACUUACCUAAGUAGCCUCACGUCCUCAAUCGUCGUGGGAGUUUCACCGGCGUCGAGGGCCUCACAACCUUUUAAGGUUUGGCUAAAGGGACCAAAGGUCCUCUUUUAUUCGUUUUCUGUCGCAAAUAAGGGGUUAGACCUCUAGAUCCAGUCAAAACAAGUCUAAAGGGACCGUUUUGUGACUCCCUGACCACCGUAUACGGUGGAGGAGCGGCGGUCCGGCAAUGAGGCAAAGAUGGGUAUAUUACCCUAGCAAAAAUGGGAAAAAUAGAAGAGGGAGAGAGAGCAACAGAGGCUCUCUGUUGUUUUUUUUAAAAAAAAUGGAGCUGAAAUGGAGAGAAAUAAAUUUUUUUUUG